UGUACCAUGUGUGUGACUGGUACCUGAGGAAGUCAGCAAAGGGUGUCAGAUACCCUGGAACUGGAGUCACAGGCAGUUGUGAGCCACCCUA
Molecule: non-coding RNA, 91 nt
Organism: Arvicanthis niloticus (Nile rat)
Lineage: Eukaryota; Metazoa; Chordata; Mammalia; Rodentia; Muridae
Source: RefSeq, a predicted model, not a curated record